This 512-nucleotide ribosomal RNA is filed under the name uncultured bacterium. RNAcentral describes it as "bacterial SSU rRNA". It matches the Rfam family "Bacterial small subunit ribosomal RNA", at positions 29 to 518 of the family's 1533-position model. The record is from RNAcentral.
AACGAACGCUGGCGGCGUGCUUAACACAUGCAAGUCGAACGCGAAAGGGACUUCGGGUCCUGAGUAAAGUGGCGCACGGGUGAGUAACGCGUAGAUAACCUGUCUUCAUGUCUGGAAUAAUACGCCGAAAGGGGUACUAAUACCGGAUAUUCUUGCUUUUCAUAAGUUAUGCAAGCAAAGGUGGCCUCUGCAUAUGCUACUGCAUGAAGAGGGGUCUGCGUACCAUUAGCUAGUAGGUGGGGUAAUGGCCUACCUAGGCGACGAUGGUUAGCGGGUCUGAGAGGAUGAUCCGCCACACUGGCACUGGAACACGGGCCAGACUCCUACGGGAGGCAGCAGUGAGGAAUAUUGCGCAAUGGGGGAAACCCUGACGCAGCGACGCCGCGUGAGUGAAGGAAGGCCUUCGGGUCGUAAAGCUCUGUCAAGAGGAAAGAAGUGUACAAUGGCUAAUACCUGUUGUAUUUGACGGUACCUCUAAAGGAAGCACCGGCUAACUCCGUGCCAGCAGCCGC